AGAAAGGGUGGAGCUGAGUACACCACACAUGGAUAUGAUGGUCUCCCCUAUGUUCUUUUUGGCAAUCCAGUUAAUCACUGACUCAACUUUGUAUGGGGCGCUUCCGAUGCACAAAUGGUGGCGGUGAAGCAGCAGGCCCGAGAGAGCGUGCAGGGGAGGAAGGAGUUCCUGGUGGAGGUGCUGAUACUGGCGGUGCUCAGCCACCCUAACUUCGUCAGCCUGAUCGGCUUCUGCGCGCAGGGGACAAGCGCUGCUGUUGUACGAGUACAUGCCCUUCGGCAGCCUGGAGAGUCAUCUCUUUGGAAACACGUUAAUUAUGUAAGAGACGAUAGGAGUAAUGACAUCAUAGCUCGGGCGUCUUGGGAGGAAAGUGGCGUCGGUGGUGCUGAGCCAGAACAAGUUCACUGGCUCUCCUUCUACCUGCUGGAGCAUAUGGACGUGUCACGGAAGCCCUUCGUCGGGCCGUUCCUGUUGGCGCUACUGUCUGUCCAGUACCUGAGCAUAGCCGGCAACAGGUUCACCCAGGCGCUAUCCGACAAGGGUCCUGCUGGGACAACCUCCAGCUUGUCGACCUGAUGGGGAGCAUCCCCCCCCCCCCACACUAUCACCAUCCUAUCCAACCAGCCGCCAAGCAUCUACUACUGCUCCCACUGGAUAUGCACUUAUAUAUGAAUAGCGUGCAUACAUCUGCACAACUGCAUAACAGUCACAAAUGAUUGUUUUGUGAAUCUGCAGAGAAUCUAAUUAUCCAUGUACGGCAAUAGCCAGAUUAAUUUGUUUACCCAAAAUUAUCAAGCGGUUCCAUUAUAUAUAUUCACUUUGGAAGGCAAAAAUUAUAUGUUGGCUGGUUGCCCGAGAAAUCAAAAAGGCUAAAUCUUGAGUUGUAUGGAGCAUGGUCAUUUGCUUGAAGUUUCCAAUGGACUGUAUAUACCAUUGAAUGAGAGGAAUUAUUCCAUGAGUGUGGACAAAUUGAGCUGAUCGAUUGAUUGAGAAAAUAUUGUGUGGAUGUUCUCAGAUCUCCUUGCUCCACUACUCCUUGGAUUAUUACCUUUGUCCAUAUAUUUUGGUUUAUCUGAGCUGAAGGUAACCUUCUUAAACUAUCCAUAAAAAUAGUUCAAAUUGUUAAUUAAUUGUUUGCUUAAUUGUGUUGUCUAUCUAUUCUUUUGCACAUAGAAGAUAUAACCUGCAAAUCUGCACAUGCUUUUGCCAAUGUAUCCAUCCUGAUAUUUCUUAUAAUGUGGAAGUUAUCAGAGCCCUUUUUUAAGCAUCCACUUUGAGUUCACCGGUGGCAGGUAGCUUGUACAAUACUGAAUUUUCAAGGUAACAAAAUCGGUUAUGCGUUGCAGCAAAAUCGAAUGUGGUAGAGAAAAUAUUCAGGCUUCGUAGCGAAACAAUGCCUCUGUUAGGAUAGUACACCCAGAUCCCCGAUGCAUUUGGUUUAUUAUGAUGUAUUGAUACUGAAGUUUGUACCAUAUCUUGAAUUAUGAUUUCAGCAGUGAUAAUAUACUCUAGAUAAAAGGAUGGACACAUAAGCUUGGGACAUGAUUGUGGCCGCUGUACUUCAAGAAGGUGCGGAGCUACGGUGAGCAGCAGGUUGCAUCGUCAUGGUGGUCGCCCUCGACCACGAUGGUGUGCACACCUUGGCACCAGGAAUUGGCUUGGGACGCC
Triticum aestivum (bread wheat) is the source of this 1668-nucleotide long non-coding RNA. RefSeq lists it as uncharacterized. The transcript has 5 exons. The record is from RefSeq and is a predicted model, not a curated record. NCBI's taxonomy places the organism in Eukaryota, Viridiplantae, Streptophyta, Magnoliopsida, Poales, Poaceae.